CUCCUGGAAACGGGUGGUAAUGCCGGAUGCUCCGCCCCCUCGCAUGGGGGGUCGGGAAGGCUUUUGCGGAAUGGGAUGGGGUCGCGUCCUAUCAGCUUGUUGGCGGGGCGACGGCCCACCAAGGCUUCGACGGGUAGCCGGCCUGAGAGGGCGACCGGCCACAUUGGGACCGAGAUACGGCCCAGACUCCUACGGGAGGCAGCAGUGGGGAAUAUUGCACAAUGGGGGGAACCCUGAUGCAGCGACGCCGCGUGCGGGAUGGAGGCCUCCGGGUCGUGAACCGCUUUUGAUUGGGAGCAAGCGUGAGUGAGUGUACCUUUCGAAUAAGCACCGGCUAACUACGUGCCAGCAGCCGCGGUAAUACGUAGGGUGCAAGCGUUGUCCGGAAUCAUUGGGCGUAAAGGGCUCGUAGGCGGUUCGUCGCGUCCGGUGUGAAAGCCCAUCGCUUAACGGUGGGUCUGCGCCGGGUACGGGCGGGCUUGAGUGCGGCAGGGGAGGCUGGAAUUCCCGGUGUAACGGUGGAAUGUGUAGAUAUCGGGAAGAACACC
This 548-nucleotide ribosomal RNA is filed under the name uncultured Bifidobacterium sp. Its description in RNAcentral is "bacterial SSU rRNA". It matches the Rfam family "Bacterial small subunit ribosomal RNA", at positions 147 to 710 of the family's 1533-position model. Lineage: Bacteria; Bacillati; Actinomycetota; Actinomycetes; Bifidobacteriales; Bifidobacteriaceae. The record is from RNAcentral.